UGGCUCAGUGGUAGAGCGCUUGCCUCGCAUGCAUGAGGCUCUGGGUUCAAUAUUCCUUG
Molecule: transfer RNA, 59 nt
Filed under: Dipodomys ordii (Ord's kangaroo rat)
Lineage: Eukaryota; Metazoa; Chordata; Mammalia; Rodentia; Heteromyidae
Rfam family: tRNA
About the family: Transfer RNA (tRNA) molecules are approximately 80 nucleotides in length. Their secondary structure includes four short double-helical elements and three loops (D, anti-codon, and T loops). Further hydrogen bonds mediate the characteristic L-shaped molecular structure. tRNAs have two regions of fundamental functional importance: the anti-codon, which is responsible for specific mRNA codon recognition, and the 3' end, to which the tRNAs corresponding amino acid is attached (by aminoacyl-tRNA synthetases). tRNAs cope with the degeneracy of the genetic code in two manners: having more than one tRNA (with a specific anti-codon) for a particular amino acid; and 'wobble' base-pairing, i.e. permitting non-standard base-pairing at the 3rd anti-codon position.
Source: Rfam by way of RNAcentral